Molecule: ribosomal RNA, 407 nt
Filed under: uncultured bacterium
Lineage: Bacteria
Description: partial 16S ribosomal RNA
Rfam family: Bacterial small subunit ribosomal RNA
Source: RNAcentral
AUUGAACGCUGGCGGCAGGCCUAAUACAUGCAAGUAGGACGCAGUUGCGAACGGGUGAGUAACGCGUAGGUAACUACCUAUUAGAGGGGGCUAACUAUUGGAAACGAUAGCUAAUACCGCCUACUAGUAGAUUGACCUGCGUUGUAUUAGCUAGUAGGUCGGGGAAUGGCCUACCUAGGCAACGUGACAUAGCCGACCUGAGAGGGUGAGCGGCCAAACUGGGACUGAGACACGGGCCAGACUCCUACGGGAGGCAGCAGUAGGGAAACUGCGGCAAUGGGGGGAACCCUGACCGAGCAACGCCGCGGGAGUGAAGAAGGUUUUCGGAUCGUAAAGCUCUGUUGUUAAGGAAGCGGUACUUAACCAGAAAGGGACGGCUAACUACGUGCCAGCAGCCGCGGUAAUAC